GACGAACGCUGGCGGCGUGCUUAACACAUGCAAGUCGUACGGUAAGGCCCUUUCGGGGGUACACGAGUGGCGAACGGGUGAGUAACACGUGAGUAACCUGCCCACAACUUUGGGAUAACGCUAGGAAACUGGUGCUAAUACUGGAUAUGUGCUCCUGCUGCAUGGUGGGGGUUGGAAAGCUCCGGCGGUUGUGGAUGGACUCGCGGCCUAUCAGCUUGUUGGUGGGGUAGUGGCCUACCAAGGCGGCGACGGGUAGCCGGCCUGAGAGGGUGACCGGCCACAUUGGGACUGAGAUACGGCCCAGACUCCUACGGGAGGCAGCAGUGGGGAAUAUUGCACAAUGGGCGCAAGCCUGAUGCAACAACGCCGCGUGCGGGAUGACGGCCUUCGGGUUGUAAACCGCUUUCAGCAGGGACGAAGCUUUUUGUGACGGUACCUGCAGAAGAAGCACCGGCUAACUACGUG
This 465-nucleotide ribosomal RNA is filed under the name uncultured bacterium. RNAcentral's name for it is "partial 16S ribosomal RNA". It matches the Rfam family "Bacterial small subunit ribosomal RNA", at positions 28 to 507 of the family's 1533-position model. The record is from RNAcentral.